GAUGAACGCUGGCGGCGUGCUUAACACAUGCAAGUCGAACGGAAAGGCCCAAGCUUGCUUGGGUACUCGAGUGGCGAACGGGUGAGUAACACGUGGGUGAUCUGCCCUGCACUUCGGGAUAAGCCUGGGAAACUGGGUCUAAUACCGGAUAGGACCACUUCUUGGAUGUUGUGGUGGAAAGGUUUUUCGGUGUGGGAUGAGCUCGCGGCCUAUCAGCUUGUUGGUGGGGUAAUGGCCUACCAAGGCGUCGACGGGUAGCCGGCCUGAGAGGGUGUACGGCCACAUUGGGACUGAGAUUCGGCCCCGACUCCUACGGGAGGCAGCAGUGGGGAAGGUUGCACAAUGGGCGCGAGCCUGAUGCAGCGCCGCCGCGUGGGGGAUGACGGCCUUCGGGUUGUAAUCUCAUUUCGCUAGGGACGAAGCGUUUUGUGACGGUACCUGGAGAAGAAGCACCGGCUAACUACGUG
RNAcentral lists this ribosomal RNA (467 nucleotides) under uncultured bacterium. Its description in RNAcentral is "partial 16S ribosomal RNA". It matches the Rfam family "Bacterial small subunit ribosomal RNA", at positions 28 to 507 of the family's 1533-position model. The record is from RNAcentral.